CAGUACCGUGAGGGAAAGGUGAAAAGGACCCCGGGAGGGGAGUGAAAGAGAACCUGAAACCUUGUGCUUACAAGCUGUCAAAGCACGUUAAAGUGUGAUGGCGUACUUUUUGUAGAACGGUCCGGCGAGUUAUAGUAACGAGCGAGCUUAAGGCAUUCAGUGCCGGAGGCGAAGCGAGAGCGAGUCUGAAUAGGGCGUAAAGUUCGUUGCCAUAGACCCGAAACCGGGUGACCUACCCAUGAGCAGGUUGAAGUGGGGGUGAAACCCCAUGGAGGACCGAACCGACCCCCGUUGCAAUGGUGGCGGAUGACUUGUGGGUAGCGGUGAAAUUCCAAUCGAACUCGGAGAUAGCUGGUUCUCCCCGAAAUAGCUUUAGGGCUAGCGUUAUGUUAGAUUACCGGAGGUAAAGCACUGAAUGGUAGCGGGGCCGAUAAGGUUACCAACGCCUAUCAAACUAAGAAUGCCGGCUAAUUGAUGCAUAGCAGUCAGACAGUGUGAGAUAAGUUUCAUUGUCAAAAGGGAAACAGCCCAGACCUACAGCUAAGGUCCCGAAUAGAUGCUAAGUGGAAAACGAUGUGGAGUUGCGAAAACAACCAGGAUGUUGGCUUAGAAGCAGCCACUCAUUAAAAGAGUGCGUAAUAGCUCACUGGUCGAGUGACUCUGCGCGGAAAAUAUAACGGGGCUAAGCGUAACACCGAAGCUUGGGCUGCACAGCAAUGUGCGGGGUAGGGGAGCGUCGAAUAUGGGGUGAAGUCGCAGCGGAAGCAGCGGUGGACUGUAUUCGAGUGAGAAUGCCGGAAUGAGUAGCGAGAAUUAUGUGGGAAUCAUAAUGGCCGAAAAUCUAAGGUUUCUUGGGGAAGGUUCGUCCGCCCAAGGUAAGCCGGGAGCUAAGGCGAGGCCGAAAGGCGUAGUCGAUGCACAUACGGUAGAAAUUCCGUAGCCACCGAACUUUAAGUCAGAGGGACACUUUUGGAUAGCGGAACCCGGGCGUUGGUUGACCCGGGCGAAAGGGAGCGAAAAUAUAGUAGCGAAGUCCGCGAUGCUGAGAGGCGAGAAAAGCUCUGAUGGAUACUAAGGUGCCCGUACCGCAAACCGACACAGGUAGAUGAGGAGAGAAUCCUAAGGCCAACGGGAGAAGGGUUGUUAAGGAACUCGGCAAGUUGACCCCGUAACUUCGGAAUAAGGGGAGCCUCGCAAGAGGCCGCAGUGAAAAGGCCCAAGCAACUGUUUACCAAAAACACAGGUCUAUGCUAAAUCGAAAGAUGACGUAUAUGGGCUGACGCCUGCCCGGUGCCGGAAGGUUAAGAGGAGAUGUCAGCGCAAGCGAAGCAUUGAAUUGAAGCCCCGGUAAACGGCGGCCGUAACUAUAACGGUCCUAAGGUAGCGAAAUUCCUUGUCAGGUAAGUUCUGACCCGCACGAAAGGCGUAAUGAUUUGGGCACUGUCUCAACAGCCCGCCCGGCGAAAUUGUAGUACUGGUGAAGAUACCAGUUACCCGCAACUAGACGGAAAGACCCCAUGGAGCUUUACUGCAGCUUAAUACUGGAAUUCGGUAACCCAUGUACAGGAUAGGUGGGAGGCUUGGAAGCAGGGGCGUCAGCUCUUGUGGAGCCGCCGGUGGGAUACCACUCUUGGAUUGCUGAAUUUCUAACCUGCGGCCGUGAAUCCGGUCGGGGGACACUGUUAGGCGGGCAGUUUGACUGGGGCGGUCGCCUCCUAAAGAGUAACGGAGGCGCUCAAAGGUUGGCUCAGCACGGACGGAAAUCGUGCAGUGAGUGUAAACGUAGAAGCCAGCCUAACUGCGAGACCGACGGGUCGAGCAGUAACGAAAGUUGGAGUUAGUGAUCCGGUGGUAUGUGAGUGGAAAUGCCAUCGCUCAACGGAUAAAAGCUACCCUGGGGAUAACAGGCUGAUCUCCCCCAAGCGUCCACAGCGACGGGGAGGUUUGGCACCUCGAUGUCGGCUCGUCACAUCCUGGGGCUGAAUUCGGUCCCAAGGGUUCGGCUGUUCGCCGAUUAAAGUGGCACGCGAGCUGGGUUCAGAACGUCGUGAGACAGUUCGGUCCCUAUCUGUUGCGGGCGUAAGAGAUUUGAAGGGAGCUGUCCUUAGUACGAGAGGACCGGGAUGGACGUACCUCUGGUGCACCAGUUGUCCUGCCAAGGGCAUAGCUGGGUAGCUAAGUACGGACGAGAUAAACGCUGAAAGCAUCUAAGCGUGAAACUCCCCCUAAGAUGAGAUCUCUCACCUCGAAAGAGGGUAAGGGCCCAGGAAGACUACCUGGU
Molecule: ribosomal RNA, 2281 nt
Filed under: human gut metagenome
Description: bacterial LSU rRNA
Rfam family: Bacterial large subunit ribosomal RNA
Source: RNAcentral